This 66-nucleotide transfer RNA is filed under the name Rhabdoblatta marginata. RNAcentral describes it as "tRNA-Leu". The record is from RNAcentral. Lineage: Eukaryota; Metazoa; Arthropoda; Insecta; Blattodea; Blaberidae.
UCUAAUAUGGCAGACAAGUGCAAUGGAUUUAAGCUCCAUAUAUAAAGAUUUCCCCUUUUGUUAGAA